This 392-nucleotide ribosomal RNA is filed under the name uncultured bacterium. RNAcentral's name for it is "partial 16S ribosomal RNA". It matches the Rfam family "Bacterial small subunit ribosomal RNA", at positions 523 to 918 of the family's 1533-position model. The record is from RNAcentral.
AUACGGAGGAUCCGAGCGUUAUCCGGAUUUAUUGGGUUUAAAGGGUGCGCAGGCGGCCAUUUAAGUCAGCGGUUAAAUCGUGGGGCUCAACCCCAUUCUGCCGUUGAUACUGGGUGGCUUGAUUGCGGUCGAGGUUGGCGGAAUUCGUUGUGUAGCGGUGAAAUGCAUAGAUAUGACGAAGAACACCGAUUGCGUAGGCAGCUGACCAGACCGCAAAUGACGCUCAUGCACGAAAGUGCGGGGAUCGAACAGGAUUAGAUACCCUGGUAGUCCGCACAGUAAACGAUGAAUACUUGUUUUCGGCGAUAUACAGUAAGCGGCCAAGCGAAAGCAUUAAGUAUUCCACCUGGGGAGUACGCCGGCAACGGUGAAACUCAAAGGAAUUGGCGGGG